AUUAGAACAUUAAGACCAAUACAAAAUAUUUUUUUUAGAAAUGUUGACCAAAUGAAAACAUGAACAUGUACAGUACUUAGUUGGGGCUCCUUUUGUCUUAAUUACAGCAGCAAUGCAGCGUGGCAUGGAGUCCAUCAGUCUGUGGCACUACUCAGGUGUUAUGAGCCCAGGUUGCUCUGAUAGUGACUUUCAGGUCUUCAACCUGGAGUAUCACAUCUAUCUCUUCACAAUACCACAUAGAUUUUCUAUGAAAACAGGUUUGCUGGCUAAUUAAGAACAGGGAUGCCAAGGUCCUUAAACCAGGUACUGGUAGCUUAGGCACUGUGUGCGGGUGCCAAGUCCUGUUGGAAAAUUAAAUCUGCAUCUCCAUAAAGUUGGUUAGCAGCAGGAAGCAUGAAGUGCUCUAAAACUUCCUGGAAGAUGGCUGUUUGACCUUGAGAAAACACAGUCGACCAACACCAGCAGAUGACAUGGCACCCAAACCAUCACUGACUGGGGAAACUUUGAAUGGACCUCAAGCAACAUGGAUUCUGUGUCUCUACUUUCUUCCUCCAGACUUUGGGACCUUGAUUUCUAAAGGAAAUGCAAAAUUAAUUUUCAACAGAAAACAUAAUUUUGGACCACUGAGCAGCAAUUUUUCUCUUCAGCUCAGAUGAGACACUUCUGAUGCUGUCUCUUGUUCAGGAGUGGCUUUGACACAAAGAAUGCAACAGCUGAAAUCCAUGUCUUGCAUAUGUCUGUGUGUGGUGGUUCUCUGAAGCACCGACUCCAGCUGCAGUUCACUCUUUGGGAAUAUUCCCCACAUUUAUAAAUGGAUUUUAUUUCACAAUUCUCAAGAUGUGGGUAUCCCUAUUGCUUGUACACUUUUUUCCUACCAUAAACUUUACUUCCUUUCACCUCUCUAUCAAUAUCUUUGGACACAGAGCUCUGUCAACAGUCAGUCUCUUUAACAAUGACCUUUUGUGACUUGACCUCCUUGUGCCAAUGGUCAUCUUUUGGGUAACCGUCAAGUCAGCAGUUUUUCCCAUGAUUGUGUAGCCCAGUGCUUCACAAUCUGUUCUUUUGGUCAUGACCUAAAGCUCAUGAUCAUAGCUCUUUCUUCACCACGACAGACCAGUACAGCCCCCCCUUCACUGCAGACGCUUGUGAAUUUCCCACUCCAUUUUUUCCCCUUAUUCGUGAACAAGAUCCCAAAAUACCUAACCUCCUCCUCUUGGGCCAGGACAUCCCCCCAACCUGGAGAAGGCAGUCUACCCUUUUCCGGCUCAAGACCAUGGCCUCAGAUUUGGAGGCACUGAUCCUCAUUCUGGCUGCUUCACACUCUGCUGCGAACCACUCCAGUGAAAGCUGUAUAUCAUGACCUGAUGAAGUCAGUAGGAGGCUUUAUGGAGAUGAU
This is a long non-coding RNA of Poecilia latipinna (sailfin molly), 1396 nucleotides long. RefSeq lists it as uncharacterized. Lineage: Eukaryota; Metazoa; Chordata; Actinopteri; Cyprinodontiformes; Poeciliidae. The record is from RefSeq and is a predicted model, not a curated record. The transcript is spliced from 3 exons.